CCUACGGGUGGCAGCAGUGAGGAAUAUUGGUCAAUGGACGAGAGUCUGAACCAGCCAAGUAGCGUGAAGGAUGACUGCCCUAUGGGUUGUAAACUUCUUUUAUAUGGGAAUAAAAUGGUCCACGUGUGGGACUUUGUAUAUACCAUAUGAAUAAGGAUCGGCGAACUCCGUGACAGCAGCCGCGGUAAUACGGAGGGUCCGAGCGUUACCCGGAUUGAUUGGGUUUAAAGGGAGCGUAGGUGGUUUGUUAAGUCAGUUGUGAAAGGUUGCGGCUCAACCGUAAAAUUGCAGUUGAAACUGGCAGUCUUGAGUACAGUAGAGGUGGGCGGAAUUCGUGGUGUAGCGGUGAAAUGCUUAGAUAUCACGAAGAACUCCGAUUGCGAAGGCAGCUCACUGGACUGCAACUGACACUGAGGCUCGAAAGUGUGGGGAUCAAACAGGAUUAGAUACCCUUGUAGUC
RNAcentral lists this ribosomal RNA (460 nucleotides) under uncultured bacterium. Its description in RNAcentral is "partial 16S ribosomal RNA". It matches the Rfam family "Bacterial small subunit ribosomal RNA", at positions 338 to 795 of the family's 1533-position model. The record is from RNAcentral.